CGCCUUGCCAGCCCGACUCAGAACUUAAAGGAAGUUGACGGGGGCCCGGCACAAGCGGUGGAGUAUGUGGUUAAUUCGAUGCAACGCGAAGAACCUUACCUGGUCUUGACAUCCCGGAGACCCUUAGGAAACUAGGGGUGCUUCCAUCUGGAAGAAUCUGGAGACAGGUGCUGCAUGGCUGUCGUCAGCUCGUGUCGUGAGAUGUUGGGUUAAGUCCCGCAACGAGCGCAACCCUUGCCUUUAGUUGCCAGCAGUUCGGCUGGGCACUCUAAAGGGACUGCCGGUGUUAAACCGGAGGAAGGUGGGGAUGACGUCAAGUCCUCAUGGCCUUUAUGACCAGGGCUACACACGUACUACAAUGGCCGAUACAAAGGGCAGCGACACUGCGAGGUGAAGCCAAUCCCGUAAAAUCGGUCUCAGUCCGGAUUGGAGUCUGCAACUCGACUCCAUGAAGUUGGAAUCGCUAGUAAUCGUGGAUCAGCAUGCCACGGUGAAUACGUUCCCGGGCCUU
This 511-nucleotide ribosomal RNA is filed under the name uncultured Desulfobulbus sp. Its description in RNAcentral is "bacterial SSU rRNA". It matches the Rfam family "Bacterial small subunit ribosomal RNA", at positions 903 to 1382 of the family's 1533-position model. Lineage: Bacteria; Pseudomonadati; Thermodesulfobacteriota; Desulfobulbia; Desulfobulbales; Desulfobulbaceae. The record is from RNAcentral.